UUCCUUUUAUCGUCAUCCUGGAGCUCUAGGGCAGCUAAUGCAAGAGGCCAAAAAUGUUUUGGAGGAAGAAAAACAAAGGCAGGAAGUGGUGGCGGCCUGACGGUGCGUGUACAUCUUUGGAGAAGGGAGGGAGCCUUUUCAAUCUCUUGUUUUUGCAAACUUCAAGGUGCUCCACACAG
This is a non-coding RNA of Erinaceus europaeus (western European hedgehog), 179 nucleotides long. The record is from Rfam. NCBI's taxonomy places the organism in Eukaryota, Metazoa, Chordata, Mammalia, Eulipotyphla, Erinaceidae.